GAGGUUGUGACUCAGUGGUUAGAGUGCUUGCCUAGCAUGUGUGAGGCAUUGGGUUUGAUCCUCAGCACUACA
RNAcentral lists this transfer RNA (72 nucleotides) under Marmota monax (woodchuck). RNAcentral describes it as "tRNA.Ala". The record is from RNAcentral. Lineage: Eukaryota; Metazoa; Chordata; Mammalia; Rodentia; Sciuridae.